ACGACGCUGGCGGCGUGCCUAAUACAUGCAAGUCGAACGGUCUUUUCUAUGGAAGCUUGCUUCCACUGAGAAGAUAGUGGCGAACGGGUGAGUAACACGUGGGUAACCUGCCCAUAAGAGGGGGAUAACAUCCGGAAACGGGUGCUAAUACCGCAUAGUUUUCUUGAUCGCAUGAUCGGGAAAGGAAAGACGGCCUUUGUGCUGUCGCUUAUGGAUGGACCCGCGGCGUAUUAGUUAGUUGGUGAGGUAAUGGCUCACCAAGACGAUGAUACGUAGCCGACCUGAGAGGGUGAUCGGCCACAUUGGGACUGAGACACGGCCCAAACUCCUACGGGAGGCAGCAGUAGGGAAUCUUCCGCAAUGGACGAAAGUCUGACGGAGCAACGCCGCGUGAGUGAAGAAAGGUUUUCGGAUCGUAAAACUCUGUUGUCAGAGAAGAACAAGUUGGAGAGUAACUGCUCCAGCCUUGACGGUAUCUGACCAGAAAGCCACGGCUAACUACGUGCCAGCCGCCGC
This 516-nucleotide ribosomal RNA is filed under the name uncultured bacterium. RNAcentral describes it as "bacterial SSU rRNA". It matches the Rfam family "Bacterial small subunit ribosomal RNA", at positions 32 to 518 of the family's 1533-position model. The record is from RNAcentral.